CUACCUUGCUAUGACUUUUGAGAUGUUACUCAGAUGGGUUAGUCGAAACUAAUUAGACCUAAAAAAAGCAGUUAAAUACCUAGUUAAAAUAUAAUAAAAUUAUAAAUUAAAGAAUAACUACACUAACUAUUCAAAUAAAUGAAUAAUCAAAUCAAUCUUUCUUUUCAUUUAUUAUUUUAACCUCUGAUUUUUCUGACCUUUUCAGGUUAGCUUUUUUAAGGUUAAGAAGAUUUAUUUAGUUUAUUUAAAAUUUAAAGUUAAAUAUAAAAAAUAAAAUACUCCUUACUACUAAGCCCUACCAAUAUAUCUCUAGAGAUAGAAAGGUAGGCAAUAAAGUAGUCAAUAAGUAAAUAAGUAGAAAUAGAAAUAUAGAUAAUAACCAAUAUUUUAUUAUUUAUAAUGUUUUACCUUUUUUAAAGAUAGACUUCGCGGCGCUUUCCCCCAAGCUGAAUUUCUCCCCAGCGACAGACGGUU
This 474-nucleotide ribosomal RNA is filed under the name Hebeloma theobrominum. Its description in RNAcentral is "partial small subunit ribosomal RNA". The record is from RNAcentral. Lineage: Eukaryota; Fungi; Basidiomycota; Agaricomycetes; Agaricales; Hymenogastraceae.